UGACCUCGGAUCAGGUAGGGAUACCCGCUGAACUUAAGCAUAUCAAUAAGCGGAGGAAAAGAAACCAACAGGGAUUGCCCUAGUAACGGCGAGUGAAGCGGCAACAGCUCAAAUUUGAAAGCUAGCCUUCGGGUUCGCAUUGUAAUUUGUAGAGGAUGAUUUGGGGAAGCCGCCUGUCUAAGUUCCUUGGAACAGGACGUCAUAGAGGGUGAGAAUCCCGUAUGUGACAGGAAAUGGCACCCUAUGUAAAUCUCCUUCGACGAGUCGAGUUGUUUGGGAAUGCAGCUCUAAAUGGGAGGUAAAUUUCUUCUAAAGCUAAAUAUUGGCGAGAGACCGAUAGCGCACAAGUAGAGUGAUCGAAAGAUGAAAAGCACUUUGGAAAGAGAGUUAAAAAGCACGUGAAAUUGUUGAAAGGGAAGCGCUUGCAAUCAGACUUGUUUAAACUGUUCGGCCGGUCUUCUGACCGGUUUACUCAGUUUGGACAGGCCAGCAUCAGUUUCGGCGGCCGGAUAAAGGCUCUGGGAAUGUGGCCUCCACUUCGGUGGAGG
RNAcentral lists this ribosomal RNA (548 nucleotides) under Aureobasidium pullulans. RNAcentral's name for it is "partial large subunit ribosomal RNA". It matches the Rfam family "Eukaryotic large subunit ribosomal RNA", at positions 1 to 557 of the family's 3401-position model. The record is from RNAcentral. Lineage: Eukaryota; Fungi; Ascomycota; Dothideomycetes; Dothideales; Saccotheciaceae.